GAUGAACGCUGGCGGCGUGCUUAACACAUGCAAGUCGAACGGAAAGGCCCAAGCUUGCUUGGGUACUCGAGUGGCGAACGGGUGAGUAACACGUGGGUGAUCUGCCCUGCACUUCGGGAUAAGCCUGGGAAACUGGGUCUAAUACCGGAUAGGACCACAUUUUGGAUGGUGUGGUGGAAAGUUUUUCGGUGUGGGAUGAGCUCGCGGCCUAUCAGCUUGUUGGUGGGGUAAUGGCCUACCAAGGCGUCGAUGGGUAGCCGGCCUGAGAGGGUGUACGGCCACAUUGGGACUGAGAUACGGCCCAGACUCCUACGGGAGGCAGCAGUGGGGAAUAUUGCACAAUGGGCGCAAGCCUGAUGCAGCGACGCCGCGUGGGGGAUGACGGCCUUCGGGUUGUAAACUCCUUUCGCUAGGGACGAAGCGUUAUGUGACGGUACCUGGAGAAGAAGCACCGGCUAACUACGUG
RNAcentral lists this ribosomal RNA (466 nucleotides) under uncultured bacterium. RNAcentral's name for it is "partial 16S ribosomal RNA". It matches the Rfam family "Bacterial small subunit ribosomal RNA", at positions 28 to 507 of the family's 1533-position model. The record is from RNAcentral.